GUGUGGAUGGAGGAGUGUGCGCUGUCCAGCGUGCUGCAGACACACCUGCGGGAGGACCACAAGGGCACCAUCCGCGGCGUCUUGGGCCGACUGGGCGGCCUCACUGAAGAGUCCACGCGGUGUGUCCUGCAGGGGCAUGACCUGCUGUUGCGCUCGGCCCUCCGGAGGCUGGCACUCCGCGGCAACGCCCUGGCCACCCUGACGCAGAUGCGGCUGUCGGGGAAGAAGCACCUCCUGCAGGAGCUGCGGGAACAGCGUGCACUGGAGCAGGGGUCCUCCCAGUGCCUGGACGAGCAUCAGUGGCAGCUGCUCAGGGCCCUGGAGGCGCGUGUGCUGGAGGAGGCCAGCCGGUUGGAGGAGGAAGCACAGCAGACACGGCUGCAGCUCCAGCAGCGGCUCCUGGCCGAGGCCCAGGAGGUGGGGCAGCUUCUGCAGCAGCACGUGGAGUGCGCCAUUGGGCAGGCGCUGCUGGUGCACGCACGGAAUGCAGCCACCAAGAGCCGGGCCAAGGACAGGGAUGACUUCAAGACAUCCCUGACCUAAGAAGAUAGGAUUCCCAUGACUAGUUUAAACCAGCCAUGCACUC
This 586-nucleotide small RNA is filed under the name Pan troglodytes (chimpanzee). Its description in RNAcentral is "processed transcript". Lineage: Eukaryota; Metazoa; Chordata; Mammalia; Primates; Hominidae. The record is from RNAcentral.